RNAcentral lists this unclassified non-coding RNA (231 nucleotides) under uncultured Inocybe. RNAcentral describes it as "sequence contains ITS1". Lineage: Eukaryota; Fungi; Basidiomycota; Agaricomycetes; Agaricales; Cortinariaceae. The record is from RNAcentral.
UCGAAAUAAACCCGAGCAGGCUGUUUGCUGGUCCUCCAUGUGGGGACAUGUGCACGCUUGUCGUCUUUAUUUUUCCAACUGUGCACAUAUUGUAGACCUGGAGCUUUCUUAUCGUUCGAAUAGAUUGAGGACUGCCAUGUAAUGUGGCUUUGCCUUGCAUUUCCAGGUCUAUGUUGUAAUACAUUUUCACAACGUGUUUCAGAAUGUCGAGUACCGGGGAUAACAAAUAUA